AACGGGCAAGGCUUCUUCGAGAGAUUCCAUCAAAUCAAGAGGACAUUUGUACGGAGACUCAGCUUCAUUCUCUCCGACACCAUAUUCCCCGUCAUCGUCGUCGUCGCUGUUCCUCCCAAUAGAAGAAGAAGGUGAAGAGAAAGACUCAGAAGAAGAUCGAUCAUACAGAUGAUCACCGGAGACAUUCAACACUGACUAAAGUGAGAACGAGGAAGAGGAUAAAGUAGCUGUUGACUAAACCUUAUCGACAUCAAGGGACACGUGGCGCUUUCUUAACCGUUGCGGCUGGAUAGAAACUGGGAAGAAUGUCGCGUGGCAGUGCCGAGAUGGUUGUUUCUGAGAAACGGUGAGGAUAUGAAGAUGGGACCACAGAAGCCGAUUUAAGCCGACAGUACUUCUUCCUCCGCUUGUAUUUUUAUUCAUUUGAUAUUUAAUUUUCGAGAAUAACUUACCUUUUAUUCGUUUGGGGAAUAAUGAACAACAGCCGGAAUAAGAUUUUCACAUUAAAUUCAUAAAUGUCCUCUUAUCAGUUACCACAUUUAGAAUAUUUAAUGUUUAUCUUCUUCUAUCAUU
This is a long non-coding RNA of Brassica rapa (field mustard), 573 nucleotides long. RefSeq lists it as uncharacterized. The record is from RefSeq and is a predicted model, not a curated record. Lineage: Eukaryota; Viridiplantae; Streptophyta; Magnoliopsida; Brassicales; Brassicaceae.